UACAGAGGGUGCAAGCGUUGUUCGGAAUUAUUGGGCGUAAAGCGCGUGUAGGCGGCUUGGCAAGUCGGGUGUGAAAUCCCUCAGCUCAACUGAGGAAGUGCGCCCGAAACUGCUUCGCUUGAGUGCCAGAGAGGAUGGCGGAAUUCCCCAAGUAGAGGUGAAAUGCGUAGAUAUUGGGAGGAACACCAGUGGCGAAGGCGGCUACCUGGACCGGUUCUGACGCUGAGGCGCGAAAGCGUGGGUAGCAAACAGG
This 253-nucleotide ribosomal RNA is filed under the name uncultured bacterium. RNAcentral describes it as "partial 16S ribosomal RNA". It matches the Rfam family "Bacterial small subunit ribosomal RNA", at positions 524 to 776 of the family's 1533-position model. The record is from RNAcentral.